Molecule: long non-coding RNA, 1430 nt
Organism: Marmota monax (woodchuck)
Lineage: Eukaryota; Metazoa; Chordata; Mammalia; Rodentia; Sciuridae
Exons: 4
Source: RefSeq, a predicted model, not a curated record
CUUUUUCAGAAAUACUAACAGCAGCUACCAAGAUGGAGGCCUUAAAAUCGGUCCAAAUUCGACUGGAAACCUAACAAGGUUUGAGAAUUUUCUAUGAUUGCUCACAGAACUCAGGGAAACUGGUUUAUUAUGAGAGAUAUGAUAAAGGAUACAGAUGAACAGCCAGAUAGAGAGAUUCACAGCUUGGGUUUCACAUUGCUUCCAGGAUUCCUGCUGAGGAGUAGUUCUGACCAGGAAUUCUUUUUAUCUGUCUGGUGCAUAUACCUUUUCCCCUUUCUCAGCUUCUUGACCCCAGCAAGAGUUGAGCAACUUCCCCAGACCCCCAUCUUCUGCUGGGCCCUUCAACCAUGAUGCUCAGCCUCACCAGAGCAAUGGACUUGGUCCACUACAGACUGAACACCGAAACUGUGAGCUUCAAAUAAACUUUACUUCCUUUAAGUUGUUUUGGCCAGGUAUUUUGUUCAUGGCAAUGCAAAACUGACUAAAACAAAGAUUUAUUAGGAUUCCAGUACAAGCUAAGUGACACUGCUCUUAUCAGACAAAUUGUGAUUUUCUAGUACAGUGAAAAUCUCUGGCUUUGCCUGCCUAUUACAUAUGUUCUCUUCUUAUGAUAUGAUACUUUGAAUUUUCAUUGAGGAAGAACCUUAUCCCAUUGCAAAAAAGCACCUUUUCCCAUUGGUGAGUUCUUCUAAGGUGCUUAUCCUACCUAUAGUUAAGAAGUGACUGUGUUACUCAAGAAAAGCCAGUUAUAUUUUAUCUUUCCCUGGUUGAAUUUUCAAUAGCAUAAUAACAAAAAGUUGUUGGAGCCGAUUCAUCAAGAUAGUAGUGCUUAUUAAGAGAUUGCCAAUUAUUGCCUACUUUUAGAUACCCAGAUCUCACAAUCUUUUUGGAUAUAAAACUAAUUAGGUUUUCUGUAAUUUUUUUUCCUCUAAUAAAAACCCAAUCUAGAGACAAUUUCUAUUGCUUGUAAACCAAGAGCCAGUGGGUCCUGUGGUAGGCAGAAUAAUGACUCUCCAAAGAUGUUUACAUCCUGAUCCCCAAAACCUGUAACAUGUUUUACUACAAAACAAGAGAGAAUUAAGGUUGCAGAUGAAAUUUAAGUCACUAAUCAGCUGAAGUGAAGGAAAAGAGGCUAUCCUGGAUUAUCAAGGUGGCCCCAGUAUAAUCAUACAACACUUGAAUGGAAAGAAAGAAACGGAUGACUCAAAACCAGACAUAUGACAUCAUAAUAAAGAUAUAACAGCCACGGCUAGAUUUGAAGAUCUAAGGGAACCAUGAGCUGGAGUAGAUUCUUUCCUAGAAUCUACAGGAAGGACCACAGCCCUGCUGACAUCUUGAUUUUAGCUCAGUGACAUCUAUUUUGGAUUUCUGAACUCUGAAAUUAUAAAUAAUAAUUUUGUAUUGUUUUGAACUAUUAAGUUGUGAUAAUU